Molecule: ribosomal RNA, 253 nt
Filed under: uncultured bacterium
Lineage: Bacteria
Description: partial 16S ribosomal RNA
Rfam family: Bacterial small subunit ribosomal RNA
Source: RNAcentral
UACAGAGGGGGCAAGCGUUGUCCGGAAUUACUGGGCGUACAGCGCGCGCAGGCGGACUCCCACGUGCCGUGUGACAAGCCACCGCUCAACGGUGGAGGGCCAGGGUACACGAGGGGUCUGGAGGCAGGGAGAGGGAUGUGGAAUGCCCGGUGGAGCGGUGAAAUGCGUAGAGAUCGGCAGGAACACCCAGGGGGAAACCAGUGGACUGGCACGGAGCUGACGCUCAGGUGCGAAAGCGUGGGGAGCGAACCGG